Molecule: long non-coding RNA, 543 nt
Filed under: Oryza sativa Indica Group (long-grained rice)
Lineage: Eukaryota; Viridiplantae; Streptophyta; Magnoliopsida; Poales; Poaceae
Description: lncRNA OsZS97_10G002440
Source: RNAcentral
UUGGCGGCGGAGCAGGUCGCGGCAGGUUCGGUGGCGGAGCAGGUCUCGGCAGGGUUCGGCGACGGAGUAUGUCGUGGCAGGGUUCUUCGGUUGAGUAGGUCUCGGCGGGCUUCGGCGGCGAAGGCGAUGGCAGGCUCGAGCUCCAGUAGGAGCACAACACGGUCGGCGACGAAAAUAUCCAGGCAAGUUGGUUUAUUCAUUUUGAAUGUGCAGAAUGGUGGAUGCAAAUUAUGGCAGUGGUAUGAACCAGGGACAACGCCAUAUUUGAAGCAGGUUUUGAAUGAUUUAGUCAGCACUGUUCAUGAAGUGAAGACAGAGAACUCUAAAAUUAGAGCAUCCCUUGCCAACUCAAGAGCUGUGAUUGAUGGACUUGUCACUGAAUGCAAUGUCUAUGAAGCAAAGAGCAUGGGACAAAAAGAGGAAUGUGGCUCAUUUGCUGAAAUGGCAUGUAGAAUCAAGAUGUUAGAAGAGAGUAGACGAUUUAUGUUGUCAGUAAUUGUUGGUUUUGUAGUAGUCAUAUUUGCACUAUUGCUUCUUAGGUAG